ACUUUCAACAACGGAUAUCUUGGUUCUCGCGACGAUGAAGAACGCAGCAAAGCGCGAUAGCUAGUGCAAAGUGCAAGGCCCAGUGAGUCAUCGAGAUUUUGAACGCAAAUGGCGGCUAGGCGUGAGAGUCUAGCCAUGUGUGGUCGAGUGACGGAGAUUUUUUGCCCCCAGUAGUGGAUGGGUGAGGUGCCGUGUCUGCUUUUCUUUUUUGUGAGCGGACUGGCGUUGAGGGAGAUUGAGAGUUGUGGCGGAGUGAGGGAGGGUUGAGGGAGUAGUGGGUGUGUCCGAGAUGAAGGGUGAGGUUGACGUUUGUUGUUUUUUGAGCUUAGUUGUGAGACAAGCUUUGAGAAGGAGCAAGCGGCUUUAGCAUUCGUUCUCUCCCCACAGCAAACCCCCUCCGCCCCCAUGCUAAACCCCCCCCAGGCACCAUCGAACAAGUGUCCUCGGCUCAGACAAGGUUACCCGCUGGAUUUAAGCAUAUUAUUAAGCGGAGGAAAAGAAACUAACAAGGAUCCCUCAGUAAUGGCGAAUGAAGCGGGGCAGAGUCCAAGCCUGGAACCGGUGGCAACAGCGGAUUGUGGCUUUGAGGCUGGCGUUGCUGAGCGGCACGUGACCACCCCGGCACAAGUUCUUUGGAACAAGACAUCAGAGAGGGUGAGAAUCCCGUGGAUGGGCGGGGAGGAGUGGCGAUCAGGGGCCAGGCAAGCGAGUCGAGUUGUUUGGGAGUACAGCUCAAAGGCGGUGGUAAGGAGCAUCGAAGACUAAUAUGAGCGAGAGACCGAUAGCGGACAAGUACUGUGAAGGAAAGAUGAAAAGGACCCUGAAAGAGAGUUAAAGGACUUGAAAUUGUUGAAGGGAAGCGCUUGGUGGCGAGGAGCGGCCAGGCCUUGCGAGGCCUGGAGUUUAGCGCGUUGCGGGUGCGGGCUCUUGCGGCGAAGCGGCGAGCGGAACUCGACUGGUAGGUGGCCGGGCAACCGGGUGCUGGUACAGGGAGGUAGCUGGAGUCGUGGCCGGAAAGAGUGCGUGAUGAAGAGAGGCAGUGCCGGGCCGCAGGGAUGCGGCCGCAGAGUAGCAGAGGGCAGGGCAUGGAGGGCGUUUGAGGGUAGCCAGGGCUACGGGCCUGGCCAGCGUCAAGCGGUGGUUCCAUGGACUGGACUCUGCGAGUCUGGAGGCAGUGUCGAGCCCGUGGGGACUCGAGCGGGAUCGGAGUUGUUUUUAAAGACGUCGAGCUCGAGCGAGACUGGCGCGCCAUCAAUCGACCCGUCUUGAAACACGGACCAAGGAGUCUAUCAUGCUUGCGAGUGAGCUAGUGGCAAACUAGGGCAGUGCGUAAUGAAAGUGAAACCCGAGAAGUGCGAGUCGCUGCAUCGGGCCCGGGCGUCCGGCGUUGUUCGCAACAUUGAGGCGCGACGAGGGGAGCAGGCAUGGUGGGACCCGAAAGGCGGUGAUCUAUGCUUGUGAAGGGCGAAGUCGGAGGAAACUCCGAUGGAGGUCCGUCGCGGUUCUGACGUGCAAAUCGAUCGUUGAUGUGAGCAUAGGGCGAAAGACUCAUCGAACCGCCUAGUAGCUGGUUCCUUCUGAAGUUUCCCUCAGGAUAGCAGCGGCAUUUUUCAGUUUGUCUGGUAAAGCUAAUGAUUAGAGGCUCGGGGGCGCAAGGCCCUUCACCUAUUCUCAAACUUUAAAUGGGCAAGGACGCUGGCGCACUUGUUUGGCGGCAGCGGGAUGGAAUGGGUAGCCGUUAGUGGGCCAGUUUGGUAAGCAGAUCUGGCGAUGCGGGAUGAACCGAACGGCGGGUUAAAGUGCCUCAGUGGACGCUCAUGUAGAACCCAUGAAGGUGUUGGUUCAUUAAGACAGCAGGACGGUGGUCAUGGAAGUCGAAAGCCGCUAAGGAGUGUGUAACAACUCACCUGCCGAAUGGCCUAGCCCUGAAAAUGGAUGGCGCUCAAGCGACUCACUUAUACCCGGCCAACAACGCGGGCGUUGUUGAGUAAGAAGGCGUGGCGCUCGUGGAGAAGCUGUUACAGCCGUGAGGCGUAGUGGAACGGGCGGUAGUGCAGAUCUUGGUGUGAGUAGCAAGUAUUCAAGCGGAAGCCUUGAAGACCGAUGUGGAGAAGGGUUCCUCGGAAGCGCAUUGCGCCGAGGGUGAGGCGGACCUAAGGCUCUGCGGAGUUGCGAACGAGUGUCUUGCGGAAGCGAGGCUUGUCGAAAGGGAAGCAGGGAGAGUUCCUGCCCGCGCGCAGCGGAGGCCUCUUUUUAAGAGGGCGAUCCCGCCGAGGGAGCCGGCAACGGAGUUUGAAAGACGUACCCUUUGCUGCCGAUGGCGUGAGACCCGGGCAGAGAUUUCUUCUCUGGUCAAGAGCCCUCAGCCCCGGAAACGGUUUGGCCGGAGAGGAGGGGUGAUUGGGCUCGUGCAGGGGGAGAAGCGUUUCUUUCCCCCUCCGGGGAGCUCGCGACGUCCCUUGAAGAGGCAAAGGGUUUGAGGGCCUGGCAACAGAGCGCCUCGACCUGGGCGCGCGCCGUACCGAUAACCGCAACAGGUCUCCAAGGUGAGGAGCCUCUGGUUGAUAGAAGAAUGUAGGCGAGGGAAGUCGGCAAACUGGAUCCGUAACUUUGGAAAGGAUUGGCUCUGCGGGUGCGCGGGAGGCAUUCUGGGCUUGUUCUGGUAGGACUUUUUUGUCAGUCGUGAGUCGGGCUUGGCGCAAGCCGAGGGCGAUUGAUGAGCUGAGGAGGGCUCGGCCAGGGGUAGUUUAGAGUUUGUCCCCGCAAUUUACUUGCACCAACGCAGAACUGGUACGGACAAGGGGAAUCCGACUGUUUAAUUAAAACAAAGCGAACCGAUGGCCGGAAAUGGUGUUGACGGUUCGUGAUUUCUGCCCGGUGCUCUGAAUGUCAAUGUGAAGAGAUUCAAGCAAGCGCGGGUUAACGGCGGGAGUAACUAUGACUCUCUUAAGGUAGCCAAAUGCCUCGUCAUCUAAUUAGUGACGCGCAUGAAUGGAUUAACGAGAUUCCCACUGUCCCCGUGUACUAUCUAGCGAAACCACAGCCAAGGGAACGGGCUUGGCACAAUCGGCGGGAAAGAAGACCCUGUUGAGCUUGACUCUAUUCUGACUUUGUGAAAUGAUUCAUCGGGUGUAGGAUAGGUGGGAGGCGCUUGCGCCGGCCGUGAAAUACCACCACCGGUGCCAUCGUUUCGCUUAUUCGGUGAGGUGUGGGCGGGCGCGGAAGCGACCCGUUCUUGAGCAAAGCAGUCAGCGCAAGCUGGUUGUUGACGCAGUCCGAAGACAUAGUCAGGUGGGGAGUUUGGCUGGGGCGGCACACCUGUUAAAGGCUAACACAGGUGUCCUAAGAUGAGCUCAGAGCGGACGGAAACCUCUCGUAGAACAAAGGGUAAAAGCUCGUUUGACUGGGCUCCUCAGUACCGAGUCCAGCUGCGAAAGCAUGGCCUAUCGAUCCUGCGACCCUGAUUGACAACGCUCCUUGUUGGCGCAGGUGCCAGAAAGUUACCACAGGGAUAACUGGCUUGUGGCAGCCAAGCGUUCAUAGCGACGUUGCUUUUGAUUCUUCGAUGUCGGCUCUUCCUAUCAUUGUGAAGCAGAAUUCACCAAGCGUCGGAUUGUUCACCCGCAAAUAGGGAACGUGAGCUGGGUUUAGACCGUCGUGAGACAGGUUAGUUUACCCUACCGAUGGAGCGUUAUUGGGCAAGUAGAGCAACUCAGUACGAGAGGAACCGUUGUUCGACAGAAUUGGUCUUGCGGUUGGUCGAGGGCCACGCCGCGCAGCUACCCUGUCUAGGAUUACGGCUGAACGCCUCUAAGCCGGAAACCAUGCUUAGG
Molecule: ribosomal RNA, 3833 nt
Filed under: Thecamonas trahens ATCC 50062
Lineage: Eukaryota; Apusomonadida; Apusomonadidae
Description: 28S ribosomal RNA
Rfam family: Eukaryotic large subunit ribosomal RNA (bases 439-3833)
Source: RNAcentral